AACUAGACUCGGCUAAUCAUUGCAAGCGGACUUUGAUUGAUGGUCGAAAGAGGUAGAUAUUUAGAGUCUUUAGAUUGUAUAUUACGUGGAAAAAUAAAAUGUCACCCCUACAGCCGGUCGUGCGCGUUUUUGUGGAAUUUCGUCCUUUAUUUUUUCAGGUUUUUAUUUUCUUGUUUUUUUUUUCGAUUUUUUUUGUCACUAAACUAACACACCCU
Molecule: non-coding RNA, 215 nt
Organism: Cinara cedri
Lineage: Eukaryota; Metazoa; Arthropoda; Insecta; Hemiptera; Aphididae
Source: the annotation of a GenBank genome assembly